CGGAACACGCGGAGAUCGGACGCGAUUGGACAAAACAUUACAGAAUAGGAUCGAAAUUUAAUGCUGUAUCGUGCAUCUCGCUCCCUCUACUGGAGAGACUCGCGGCCGACCGUACACAGGCGGCGGUGCGAGCAGGACGGAAAUAGUGUGCCAGUUCACAUUAUAUAACAUUCUUGAUAAUAUAUCGCUGAUAAGUUGCAAAUGACAGACUGUUAUGGAUAUACCAGCGUAACGAGUACGAGCAUCUGGGAUAGAAGUGAUGCUUAGUAGAAAUGAAACAGGUAAAUAAAUGAACACGACAGUUUCACGUGUAUAUUUAAUUAACAAAAGUAUAACAGCAACACAGUGUGUUAUGUAUUCAUAAAGGGCACUUAAAUUGCACAUACGAGGACGAUCAUCCGGGCGACAUCCACCUAAACUCACAGUGAUAUAAUAAAUAGGUAAGAA
This is a long non-coding RNA of Danaus plexippus (monarch butterfly), 447 nucleotides long. RefSeq lists it as uncharacterized. The transcript has 2 exons. The record is from RefSeq and is a predicted model, not a curated record. Lineage: Eukaryota; Metazoa; Arthropoda; Insecta; Lepidoptera; Nymphalidae.